Nematocida parisii ERTm3 is the source of this 71-nucleotide transfer RNA. It matches the Rfam family "tRNA". From Rfam's summary of the family: Transfer RNA (tRNA) molecules are approximately 80 nucleotides in length. Their secondary structure includes four short double-helical elements and three loops (D, anti-codon, and T loops). Further hydrogen bonds mediate the characteristic L-shaped molecular structure. tRNAs have two regions of fundamental functional importance: the anti-codon, which is responsible for specific mRNA codon recognition, and the 3' end, to which the tRNAs corresponding amino acid is attached (by aminoacyl-tRNA synthetases). tRNAs cope with the degeneracy of the genetic code in two manners: having more than one tRNA (with a specific anti-codon) for a particular amino acid; and 'wobble' base-pairing, i.e. permitting non-standard base-pairing at the 3rd anti-codon position. NCBI's taxonomy places the organism in Eukaryota, Fungi, Microsporidia. The record is from Rfam.
GCGCAUGUGGUUUAAUGGUAUAAUUCUCGCUUGCCAUGCGAGAGACCCGGGUUCGAUUCCCGGCAUGCGCA